Molecule: small RNA, 319 nt
Filed under: Pongo abelii (Sumatran orangutan)
Lineage: Eukaryota; Metazoa; Chordata; Mammalia; Primates; Hominidae
Description: processed transcript
Source: RNAcentral
CAGGGGUGCUGGGCUAGACCAAGCUCUGCCUGAACCUUAGUUUCAGCCCUGGAGCCCUUGAGAGAGCUCUGCUGUUGGUUAGUAAUUACUGUGAAAGUAUUCAGCUUCUCCAUUACAAGGACGGGCGAAAACAGAAGAGCAGAUUGCAGCGGAGGAGGCCUGGAAUGAGACGGAGAAAGUGUGGCUGGUCCAUAGGGACGGCUUCUCACUGGCCAGUCAACUCAAAUCUGAGGAGCUCAACUUGCCUGAGGGGAAGGUGCGUGUGAAGCUGGACCACGAUGGGGCCAUCCUGGAUGUGGACGAGGAUGACGUGGAGAAG